CCUACGGGAGGCAGCAGUGAGGAAUAUUGGUCAAUGGGCGGAAGCCUGAACCAGCCAAGUCGCGUGAGGGAAUAAGGUCCUACGGGUCGUAAACCUCUUUUGCCGGGGAGCAAGGGCCGGGACGAGUCCCGGUCCGGAGAGUACCCGGAGAAAAAGCAUCGGCUAACUCCGUGCCAGCAGCCGCGGUAAUACGGAGGAUGCGAGCGUUAUCCGGAUUUAUUGGGUUUUAAGGGUGCGUAGGCGGGCUUUUAAGUCAGCGGUAAAAUGUCGGGGCUCAACCCCGUCCGGCCGUUGAAACUGGGGGCCUUGAGUGGGCGAGAAGAAGGCGGAAUGCGUGGUGUAGCGGUGAAAUGCAUAGAUAUCACGCAGAACCCCGAUUGCGAAGGCAGCCUUCCGGCGCCCUACUGACGCUGAGGCACGAAAGUGCGGGGAUCGAACAGGAUUAGAUACCCGAGUAGUC
RNAcentral lists this ribosomal RNA (460 nucleotides) under uncultured bacterium. Its description in RNAcentral is "partial 16S ribosomal RNA". It matches the Rfam family "Bacterial small subunit ribosomal RNA", at positions 338 to 795 of the family's 1533-position model. The record is from RNAcentral.